GAUGAACGCUGGCGGCGUGCCUAAUACAUGCCAGUCGAGCGAACGGACGAGAAGCUUGCUUCUCUGAUGUUAGCGGCGGACGGGUGAGUAACACGUGGAUAACCUACCUAUAAGACUGGGAUAACUUCGGGAAACCGGAGCUAAUACCGGAUGAUAUUUUGAACCGCAUGGUUCAAAAGUGAAAGACGGUCUUGCUGUCACUUAUAGAUGGAUCCGCGCUGCAUUAGCUAGUUGGUAAGGUAACGGCUUACCAAGGCAACGAUGCAUAGCCGACCUGAGAGGGUGAUCGGCCACACUGGAACUGAGACACGGUCCAGACUCCUACGGGAGGCAGCAGUAGGGAAUCUUCCGCAAUGGGCGAAAGCCUGACGGAGCAACGCCGCGUGAGUGAUGAAGGUCUUCGGAUCGUAAAACUCUGUUAUUAGGGAAGAACAUAUGUGUAAGUAACUGUGCACAUCUUGACGGUACAUAAUCAGAAAGCCACGGCUAACUACGUG
Molecule: ribosomal RNA, 497 nt
Filed under: uncultured bacterium
Lineage: Bacteria
Description: partial 16S ribosomal RNA
Rfam family: Bacterial small subunit ribosomal RNA
Source: RNAcentral